This 168-nucleotide ribosomal RNA is filed under the name uncultured bacterium. Its description in RNAcentral is "partial 16S ribosomal RNA". It matches the Rfam family "Bacterial small subunit ribosomal RNA", at positions 338 to 523 of the family's 1533-position model. The record is from RNAcentral.
CCUACGGGGGGCAGCAGUGGGGAAUAUUGGACAAUGGGCGCAAGCCUGAUCCAGCCAUGCCGCGUGAGUGAUGAAGGCCCUAGGGUUGUAAAGCUCUUUUGUGCGGGAAGAUAAUGACGGUACCGCAAGAAUAAGCCCCGGCUAACUUCGUGCCAGCAGCCGCGGUAA